This 421-nucleotide long non-coding RNA is filed under the name Helianthus annuus (common sunflower). The record is from RNAcentral. Lineage: Eukaryota; Viridiplantae; Streptophyta; Magnoliopsida; Asterales; Asteraceae.
CAAAUACAUCAUUCUCCCUCCUCGUCUGUGUCAUAUUCGUUGCCUUUUCUUGAUUCCUUCUUAUCCAUAGCUUGGUAGAAUCGUUCCAUAAAUCUCGGGUCUUCAAACAAUCUUCGUUAAUAUCUUUUUGGCUACAUAAUGUGUAAGGGGAACCUUGUUGCCUUUAGGAGGUGAAGAUUGCAAAAACUCGAGAAGCUCAUCAAAUGAACGGUUAGUCCAUUUGUUCUUCGUCUCACAUAUGCAUAAGCUUUGAAAUAAAGUCAAGAGAUAUGAAGACAAUAAUUCUUUACUUUCUCCUUUUACAAAGAUUAUAAUUCUAUAAAUACGCCACCGGUCCUUCAUCUUAAAAACAAGUAAUUCUUUACUUUCUCCCUUUACAAAGAUUAUAAUUCUAUAAAUACGCCACCGGUCAUUCAUCAUU